RNAcentral lists this ribosomal RNA (262 nucleotides) under Acinetobacter pittii. Its description in RNAcentral is "partial 16S ribosomal RNA". It matches the Rfam family "Bacterial small subunit ribosomal RNA", at positions 1 to 266 of the family's 1533-position model. The record is from RNAcentral. Lineage: Bacteria; Pseudomonadati; Pseudomonadota; Gammaproteobacteria; Moraxellales; Moraxellaceae.
AACUGAAGAGUUUGAUCAUGGCUCAGAUUGAACGCUGGCGGCAGGCUUAACACAUGCAAGUCGAGCGGAGAGAGGUAGCUUGCUACUGAUCUUAGCGGCGGACGGGUGAGUAAUGCUUAGGAAUCUGCCUAUUAGUGGGGGACAACAUUUCGAAAGGAAUGCUAAUACCGCAUACGUCCUACGGGAGAAAGCAGGGGAUCUUCGGACCUUGCGCUAAUAGAUGAGCCUAAGUCGGAUUAGCUAGUUGGUGGGGUAAAGGCCU